Molecule: long non-coding RNA, 2033 nt
Organism: Sinocyclocheilus rhinocerous
Lineage: Eukaryota; Metazoa; Chordata; Actinopteri; Cypriniformes; Cyprinidae
Exons: 2
Source: RefSeq, a predicted model, not a curated record
GGACAACAAAACAAUGAUCCUCACAUUUUGAGAUCCUUUUUAAACCAGUGAUUUAUGGAAUAGUGAUUUUAAUUUGCACACAUGUGAUUGCUGGGCCAUUUUACUGUCUCUUAGAGGUUUAAGGCAAAGCAUAGAGGUGCUAAAGUGGCACGGUAAGUACACAUCCUCAUUCUGCUGUGUCCACAGACACUCUGCAGCUGAAACACCACGACAGGCAUUUGUGUGAUGUCAGAAUGAGCUGGAUUCUCACUGCUGCUGUAAUGUCACAGUGCUUGUAGCCAUACAGCUCUUUUUUCUGCUAACGUAAUGGUGAACAUGAUAGUGUUUCGUCAUUAUCAUUUACAGAGUCCCAUUACAUCUGUAGAGUUUAAUAGUAUUGAAAAUCAUUAUUGUUUUGCAAUCAUUAGAUUUUUUUUAGUAAAUUGGCCAGACUCAUUAUGGCAAUGAGAACUUGUUGGGAAAAUCUGUUUAGUAAAAUAUUUAUUUUGAUUUAUGUCAGGUUUUGUCAGAUUCACCUGUAUGAUGUAAUGACAUGUUAGCAUGUUGGCUAGUUGAUCAGGGCAGUUAUAUUUCAGUGUGGAUGCGAUGAGUUUUAGUUUUUGCACACUCUGUACUCACAUUUCCAGCUUGUCUACGGUGCAGCAUGAUUCUGCACGUGAGCACUGAUUAAUAUCACACACUGGACUAGUUGUUAACUAAUGUUUGGAUUCAUUUCUGAAAUGUGCUGUUGCUCCCACUGAAUAUGGGAACAUGUAUGGUGUGGCAGCUGUAUUUUGUCUGAUCUGUGUGUAGAUCACCUACAGAGGUAUCAAAAACCCAGAAGCCUUGGAGAGGAAAAAGAAGAAACAAGAAGAGACAGAGAAACAGACUAUGAACUCUGUACCUUCUGAAGGCGGCGGGCUAAAGUGGCAGGUUGGCUAACACAGGCUGAAGAGAAGAUCACUGGUCAUUUCCCGCUGACUUGUUCUUUCGGUUCUUAUUUUGAAAUGUACACUAGCAAGGGGAGUUUGCAUAGAGACUAGAAUUUUUGUCAAGCUCCCGCACAAAACUUCUAAUCCUCCAGGCCUUCUGAUUGGCCAGAGUGCAUUCAGGCCACACCCCUUUAAAUGCCAAGGUGGGCAAGCUAUUGGAUUUCUGGGAUAGUGCUUUUAGCAAUUAAUGUUUUUUUCCCACAACUUAUUCAGUUUAUGUUUAUGCAUCAUUUCACACAUGCAGCUUUUGUACCAAUGUCCUUUCUAUUUUUGACAUUGAUCAAGAACUGAAUGUCAUUUUAAUACACAUUUAUACAACUGAAAAGCAUGUUUUAUAUUGGAUUUUGGAUAAUUUAAUACAUAUUUAGCCAUUUAUAUUUAUGCAUCAGUUACCAGUGUGUUUUGGUUGUAAGCUCAUAGUGUUUAGCGAUUUGUCAGGACUUGAAGUAUAAUAAUAAUGAAGAAUAUUGAAGGAUAUUAUGUCAGUUAGCACUUUCACUGCCUGUUGAUUGUAUGACUUGCUGUUCUUAUGAACCAAAUUGAAUGUGCAUCACUUUAUCUUCUCAGACACAUUAGUUUCUCACCCUUUCUGAAGGGCUUUGGUUGUCUUAAGUUAAGAAAAUCUUAACUUAUCACAUUAAAACUCAGCAUCCAUGUGUUGGGCCGUGCAGCAGUGACUGUAGCAGCCUGAGCUAUAGUGAACAGUGUGGAAUACACUUUAUCUCUAGGAACUCUGAGUGAACUCUACAUAUUGCCUUUGAUGCAUUUAUUUUAUGUUAUGCUCAUGAGUUAUUACCUCUGCCUAUAGCUACUCACUCAAUGCUUGUGACAGGGAAACAGAUUUGCACCAAAUUAUCAAGUGAAAUAUCUUCCCAGGGUUCAUUCAGAAUGGAUUAUUAACAUACAGACACUGUAUAACAAUAAUACAAUACAUCAGAGUUUUGCAAUGUUCAUGCUUACCAGUAGAGGACAGUGGCACACUUUCAGAUCAGGAACUGUUUUAGAACCACAACUGCAAGGAGGCAUUGCUUAAAUAAAGAGUGUGUUUGAUUGAACAGCCAA